RNAcentral lists this ribosomal RNA (462 nucleotides) under uncultured bacterium. Its description in RNAcentral is "bacterial SSU rRNA". It matches the Rfam family "Bacterial small subunit ribosomal RNA", at positions 53 to 509 of the family's 1533-position model. The record is from RNAcentral.
ACAUGCAAGUCGAGCGAAGCGCUUAACUUGGGAUUUUCUUCGGAAUGACGAGUUUUGUUGACUGAGCGGCGGACGGGUGAGUAACGCGUGGGUAACCUGCCUCACACAGGGGGAAUAACAGUUGGAAACGGCUGCUAAUACCGCAUAAGCGCACGGGGACGCAUGUUUCUGUGUGAAAAACUCCGGUGGUGUGAGAUGGACCCGCGUCUGAUUAGCUAGUUGGUGAGGUAAGGGCUCACCAAGGCGACGAUCAGUAGCCGACCUGAGAGGGUGACCGGCCACAUUGGGACUGAGACACGGCCCAAACUCCUACGGGAGGCAGCAGUGGGGAAUAUUGCACAAUGGGGGAAACCCUGAUGCAGCGACGCCGCGUGAAGGAAGAAGUAUUUCGGUAUGUAAACUUCUAUCAGCAGGGAAGAAAAUGACGGUACCUGACUAAGAAGCCCCGGCUAACUACGUGCC